AGAGUUUGAUCCUGGCUCAGAUUGAACGCUGGCGGUAUGCUUAACACAUGCAAGUCGAACGGAAACGAAACUAGCUUGCUAGUAGGCGUCGAGUGGCGGACGGGUGAGUAACGCGUAGGAAUCUGCCUGAUAGUAGGGGAUAGCCCGAAGAAAUUCGGAUUAAUACCGCAUAAUCUAUUCGUAGUAAAGUGGGGGACUUUCGAGCCUCACGCUAUCAGAUGAGCCUGCGUAAGAUUAGCUUGUUGGUAGGGUAAAAGCCUACCAAGGCAACGAUCUUUAGCUGGUCUGAGAGGAUGAUCAGCCACAUCGGGACUGAGACACGGCCCGAACUCCUACGGGAGGCAGCAGUGGGGAAUAUUGGACAAUGGGGGCAACCCUGAUCCAGCAAUACCGCGUGUGUGAAGAAGGCCUGAGGGUUGUAAAGCACUUUCAAUUGUGAAGAAAAGUUAACGGUUAAUAACCGUUGACCUUGACGUUAACUUUAGAAGAAGCACCGGCUAACUCCGUGCCAGCAGCCGCGGUAAUACGGAGGGUGCAAGCGUUAAUCGGAAUUACUGGGCGUAAAGCGUGCGUAGGCGGUUUAUUAAGUCAGAUGUGAAAGCCCCGGGCUUAACCUGGGAACUGCAUUUGAAACUGGUCAACUAGAGUAUGGUAGAGGAAAGUGGAAUUUCUGGUGUAGCGGUGAAAUGCGUAGAUAUCAGAAGGAACAUCAAUGGCGAAGGCAGCUUUCUGGACCAAUACUGACGCUGAGGUACGAAAGCGUGGGUAGCAAACAGGAUUAGAUACCCUGGUAGUCCACGCCGUAAACGAUGAUAACUAGCCGUUGGGGGGAUUUACCCCUUAGUGGCGAAGCUAACGCGUUAAGUUAUCCGCCUGGGGAGUACGGCCGCAAGGCUAAAACUCAAAGGAAUUGACGGGGACCCGCACAAGCGGUGGAGCAUGUGGUUUAAUUCGAUGCAACGCGAAGAACCUUACCUGGUCUUGACAUCCUGCGAACUUUCUAGAAAUAGAUUGGUGCCUUCGGGAACGCAGUGACAGGUGCUGCAUGGCUGUCGUCAGCUCGUGUCGUGAGAUGUUGGGUUAAGUCCCGUAACGAGCGCAACCCCUAUCCUUAUUUGCCAGCACAUUAUGGUGGGAACUAUAAGGAGACUGCCGGUGAUAAACCGGAGGAAGGCGGGGACGACGUCAAGUCAUCAUGGCCCUUACGACCAGGGCUACACACGUGCUACAAUGGGAAGGACAAAGAGCCGCGAAGCCGCGAGGUGUAGCUAAUCUCAUAAAUCUUUUCGUAGUCCGGAUUGGAGUCUGCAACUCGACUCCAUGAAGUCGGAAUCGCUAGUAAUCGUAGAUCAGAAUGCUACGGUGAAUACGUUCCCGGGUCUUGUACACACCGCCCGUCAUACCAUGGGAGUGGGUUGCACCAGAAGUGGCUAGUCUAACUUUGUGAGGACGGUCACCACGGUGUGAUUCAUGACUGGGGUAAAGUCGUAACAAGGUAACC
This 1501-nucleotide ribosomal RNA is filed under the name uncultured bacterium. Its description in RNAcentral is "bacterial SSU rRNA". It matches the Rfam family "Bacterial small subunit ribosomal RNA". The record is from RNAcentral.